Molecule: long non-coding RNA, 5144 nt
Organism: Anolis carolinensis (green anole)
Lineage: Eukaryota; Metazoa; Chordata; Lepidosauria; Squamata; Anolidae
Exons: 4
Source: RefSeq, a predicted model, not a curated record
UUCAGUGAGGCGGUCACGAGGUGAGCAGCAGCCAAUCACGGCGCAGUAUUUCCCACAUCCGUCCUCUAUGUAUUUUGGACUUCAGCUCCCAAGAUCCCUAACACUUGGCCGAAACAACUGAGGCUUCUGGGAGUUGCAGUCCAAAAUCCCAGUAGAGUAAGGGAAUCACCGCAUUAGGGGAUUUAGGCUCCUAUUGCAGGCAUAGGUAACUUGGGCACUCUAGGUAUUUUGGGCUUGAACUUCCCUUAUUCCUAACAGCCUCAGGCCCUUUCCUUUUCUUCCUCAGCCGCUUAAGCCAUAGUCAGCCAUAGCAGAGCACUUGAUGAACCAACCUGGACACAGCCUAUUAUCUGAGAACACAGAAAUUCUGGACCACUCUCACAACCACCAUGUCAGACUACAGAGAGAAGCCAUAGAAAUCCACAAGCACGUGGACAAUUUCAACAGAAAGGAGGAAACCAUGAAAAUGAACAAAAUCUGGCUACCAGUAUUUAAAAAAACUCUAAAAUCACGACAGUAAGUAAAGAACAACACUCUGAAAACAGGGGAAUUCCAGACAGGAAACAAUUAGGGCCAGCUAAUACCUCCCAAGAAAGGAUUCUCCCAGGCAGGAAGCAGCCAGGCUUUGCCGCUGCAAGGCCAUUAAAUGCUAAUCAAGGUGAUCUAUUGCAACAUUCACACUUGCCCCAACCUGGACUUUCUACAGAUAUAUAAACCCCAUUUGCCUAGUUUCCAACAGACUUCACACCUCUUUGGAUGCCUGCCACAGAUGUGGGCAAAACAUCAGGAGAGAAUGCUUCUGGAACACGGUUGGCCAUACAGCCCAGAAAACUCAGCAACCCAGUGAUUCCGGCCAUGAAACCUUCGACAAUGCAUUCUAAUCUAAACUGUUCAGUAAGCCUAGGCAGAAACCUGUGCUCUAGGACUGUCAGAAACCUAGGCAGAAACCUGUGCUCUAGGCCUGGGUUGAAUCGCUUUAGUGACAUUGAGUAAAGGUUGUUCCUAUUGGCAGUCCGCUACCAAGCAUUGACACUUCUCUCUCAAAAUCCUGCUUCAUGAGCCUGGCAUGAUCACAGCCGGUCCAACAAUGAGGCAAAUUAAGCGGUCUCUUCGGGCACCAAACAUACUGGGGUGCAGUCAAGAUUGCUUUUUCUGUUGAUUUGUUGUAAAACAUGAUGGUUUGGUGCUUAAUUUGUAAAAUCUUUUCCUUAAUCCCUCCUUAUUAUCCAACAUUUUUGCUUAUCCAACGCUUUUAUUUUUCAGUGAUUUUUUUGGGGGGGGGGGGGGCGCCAAAAUUCUGUGCGCCUACACUUGAAAAAUACCUAGGGCCGGCUCUGGGCAUGAUAAAACUGGCAAGAAAAGACAAUGUGCGAUGAGGAAUGAGAAACGGAAGGAUGUUCUUUAUAAUGCUAUGGGACAUAACUCCACGGUAAUAUGACCCUUCCCCAGAUGACAUCAUCUCCCAUUUGUAAUUCUUGAUUUCCCACUUUUUUGUUUCUGCAAAAACAAAACUGUUCAGCAGAAAGAUGACAUGGGUGCAGAAUGCCUUUGGAUAUGUAGCACAACGAGCCUUUUGUCUGGAGUAAGGCUAUGAAUUGAAGAAGACUGUUAUGGAUAAAGGCAACAUAUAUAAUGCAUCAUCUCACAAUAGCCCUGGUUACGAUAAUGUUAAACACCUCCAAUUUGCCAGGCAGACACACUGCGGAAUGCAGAAUCUGACAAGUCAUCAGAGGCCACUAAUGCUUACAAGAAUUGAUGGUUCAAGAUGAUUUUGCAGUGGAUUUUGAACGUGGUUGCUGGAAAUGACUCUUCUUCAGAUUUUAGAAAAUUAUAAAAUGAAACUGAAAAGUGAAUGUAAAUAACCCUAACUCAACCCACUUUUUAAAAACGGGGUGAACUCAUUAAUUGUCCAGUCUCUCCCAGUUCAAGGCUGCUUUAACUUUUCUUGGCUAGACUUACAGGCAGAAUGCUGACAGAUAACAGAUAUAUCCCAACUUUCUUGGGCCACAAGAUCCAAGGCAACUUAUGCCAAAUUAAAGAGCUUGUGAAAACAACUGUUGGUUAUAUUUCAGGAAGUUCUGUCAAAUUUGUUGUAUAACAUGAUGUUUUGGUGCUUAAUUUGUAAAAUCAUAACCUAAUUUGAUGUUUAAUAGGCUUCUCCUUAAUCUCUCCUUGUUAUCCAACAUAUUUGCUUAUCCAACGUUCUGCCGGCCUGUUUAUGUUGGAUAAGUGAGACUCUACUGUGUGUGUAUUUUGUCUUUGGAAGAAUUCACUUAAAAAAUUAAAGCAACAAAAGCAAUACAUUCACACUGUGAUGCAAUAAAAAAUGCAGCAAAACAAAUUUGGAAAAGUCAAAGGGCAGUGAGUGAAUAUUUUUGUAUGGUACUGUAUAUAUUGCAGACUUGUAGAAUUGUAGUGCAGUAUUGCCAUUUCAUUUAAAAGUGCAGAAGACUGGGCAGAAUAAAACAUGUUUGUAAUAUAAGGUAGUUUUUGGAGCAAACCACCCCUUUUUAUCAUGGAAGCUUCUAUAUAUGUAGGAGUCCCUUAAGUAUUUAGAAGUGGCCCAGAGAUGCUUGAGCAUUGCAGAAGAUGAGUCAUCUAAUGCUGUGCUGAUGCAUAUCCUUACUACUUGGUCUGCAAAAUGACCUUCAGUGAUGAUAAUAAUUCUCUGUUUUGGUUGCACAUGUAGGCUCAAGCAUUGGACAGAGAAAAAGGCUUACCCUUCUUGUAUCCAGUAUCCUUUAGAACGAUUGCAAGAAAAGAUGUGUGAAGAGAAAUCUAUUUCCAGUUGUAGCAGUCUAAUGAGUCCUCUGAAGCCUAUGGAAAUCCUUGCCCAUACCAGAACCUGCAUAGGUUGGUCAGGAGCUUAGGAAUUCCAAGACCACAGAAUUUUGGCUUAAUCCCAGCCAUCCAAGGUAGGAAUUACUAUUAUGCUGACAAUAUCCAUUCAGCCUGGGCAGAGCCGGCCCUAGGUAUUUUUCAAGUGUAGGCGAACAGAAUUUUGGCGCCCUCCCCAAAAAACAAUCACUGAAAAAUAAAAGCGUUGGAUAAGCAAAAAUGUUGGAUAAUAAGGAGGGAUUAAGGAAAAGCCUAUUAAACAUCAAAUUACAUUAAGAUUUUACAAAUUAAGCACCAAAACAUCAUGUUUUACAACAAAUCAACAGAAAAAGCAGUUUUGACUGCGCCCCCGUAUGUUUGGCGCCCGAAGCGACCGCUUAAUUCGCCUCAUUGUUGGACCGGCUCUGAGCCUGGGUCAGGAAACUAGACCCAGGGUGCAUCUAUACUGUAGAAUUAAAGCAGUUUCACACCACUUUAACUGCCUUAGCUCAAUGCUAUGUAAUUAUGGGAAUUGUAGUUUCGUGGAGCACCAGAAUUCUUUGGCAGGAAAGGCUAAAGACCUUGUAAAACUACAACUCCUGUGGAAAAGUUACAACUCCCAGGACAAAGAUCAAAAGCUUAUAGCAAAGAUCUGAGGAACUAGGCAAGAGGCGAAGACAAUUUUAUCCUCAUAACCCUUAGCAAUUACAGUGCUUCCAGCUGAUAAGUUAGAGGGAUGAUAUCUCAAAACUCUCCAGCGAAUUGGAAGUUUCCCAUACAUAUGAGAAUGAAUUUUUAUAGGCCUGUCUGUAGCCUUGACCAAACCAAAACAAGUCAUUGCAGGUGCAAGCAAUAAUUAGGUCUGAAUCCUCAGGCUGUCACGGACUGCCAGAAAUACUCAGAAAAUCAAUUUUUGUGACAAACAUAACAAUCUAACAUGAAAAUCAAGCAGAAAACAGCCAAUAAGAUUUUUGUUCUUCUGUAUUUAUCCAAGAUGCAGUCUUGUCACAUUUUUUUCUUUCUCACUCUAUGUUCUAUUUAAUUUGCUGUAUACAAUUAUUAUUUAAAGCAUUUUAUUAUGCAUAUAAUACUUUUUUUCUUUUUUCUUAAAAUUUGAAUUGUUGAAUAUACAUAUUAGAGGUUUGUGUGCAGUGGAAUAUUUGAUAGCAGAAGCAUUUGCUGCUAACCUGAACUAAAAGUAAGCAAAAAAUAUUUUCAUCAGCAAAUGUUUUGCUUGAAAAACAGCUCGCUGUAUCAAGAAGGUUUAAUUCCUACACUGUGGUAUGCCAAAAAUGAGACUUCUUUGCUUGUGCCAAAGCAUUAAAAAACAAAGAGCACAGAAAAUGUUUCCUUAGCCUUAUUUAACUACCUUCUACUCUGAAAACAUUUCUAAGGUGGAGUGGCUUCCUUGGAUCUGGCUCAAGCUGUCCACAUAAGCUAGUGUUAUUUAUUAGUGAUAAGGUGCCAGAAAUAUGCCUGGCCACUCACAAAUAAAGGACCUUUAACAAAAAAAAAAAAGGUUGCACACCAAGAAGCAAGGUGAAAGAUAUGUCCGCAUCCAAGUAGAUGCUCUUACCAGAGUUCCAAUUAUAAAAUAGCUGUGUGGAACUGGAUGUACAUCUGAGAGUUCUUCUAUCCAGUAGCAUAUGGAAGAAUUUGAGAAAUUGCAAGCAACGAUGCAUAUGUUCCUGAAAACAAUGUACAAGACCACCGGGACUUUCACAUACGUUUUCAAUUUCUGUUAAGGAUGUGAUUAUCUUGUGGGCAUGUUUUACUCCUACUGCCUAUACUGGAGAUCAGUCAGUAUAGUGUACCCUUCAGCUUGGAAAGAUCAAGAUAAGUUCAGCUGUUCACUGAAGCUGGUAGGUUAACUACUGCUCAACUCAUGACUGUCUACUUAGCUUUAGAACUUCAGAUUGAGCAGAAUCUCCAUUGUCCAAAUCCUCUGAAAGUUGGCUUAAUGCAACUCCUUUGUUUUGCUGGGCUAAAGUGCAAACAAUAACAUAUUCUUAUUAAAAUAUUUUGAAUGUUUGCUUAUAUUUCCGUGGAUAGAGAAGUAUUCUAUGGCUUGGGUCCAGAUUAUCUGAAAGAUCUGCCUCUAUACACGAGUCUGCCUGAGUUUUAAGCAGGCUCAUGUAUAGAUAGGGUGGAAUUGACGGGAAAGUUUUUUCCAAUCCUAUCCUCAUCACAAUAGAAUAACCAGGAAGAAACGAUAACUUGUUUAUUUAGUGCUAUGUUUACUUUGAUUUACAUCAAAGUGAUGUUUCCAUAUUCCUGAAAGAGUUGUUUUUGAAAGAAACAAAUAAAUAAAAAGUAUGUUAACCUCA